GAAUAGGGCGGUACCUUGACGGUACCUAACCAGAAAGCCACGGCUAACUACGUGCCAGCAGCCGCGGUAAUACGUAGGUGGCAAGCGUUGUCCGGAAUUAUUGGGCGUAAAGCGCGCGCAGGCGGUUUCUUAAGUCUGAUGUGAAAGCCCCCGGCUCAACCGGGGAGGGUCAUUGGAAACUGGGGAACUUGAGUGCAGAAGAGGAGAGUGGAAUUCCACGUGUAGCGGUGAAAUGCGUAGAGAUGUGGAGGAACACCAGUGGCGAAGGCGACUCUCUGGUCUGUAACUGACGCUGAGGCGCGAAAGCGUGGGGAGCGAACAGGAUUAGAUACCCUGGUAGUCCACGCCGUAAACGAUGAGUGCUAAGUGUUAGAGGGUUUCCGCCCUUUAGUGCUGCAGCAAACGCAUUAAGCACUCCGCCUGGGGAGUACGGUCGCAAGACUGAAACUCAAAGGAAUUGACGGGGGCCCGCACAAGCGGUGGAGCAUGUGGUUUAAUUCGAAGCAACGCGAAGAACCUUACCAGGUCUUGACAUCCUCUGACAACCCUAGAGAUAGGGCUUCCCCUUCGGGGGCAGAGUGACAGGUGGUGCAUGGUUGUCGUCAGCUCGUGUCGUGAGAUGUUGGGUUAAGUCCCGCAACGAGCGCAACCCUUGAUCUUAGUUGCCAGCAUUCAGUUGGGCACUCUAAGGUGACUGCCGGUGACAAACCGGAGGAAGGUGGGGAUGACGUCAAAUCAUCAUGCCCCUUAUGACCUGGGCUAC
This 763-nucleotide ribosomal RNA is filed under the name Bacillus licheniformis. RNAcentral's name for it is "bacterial SSU rRNA". It matches the Rfam family "Bacterial small subunit ribosomal RNA", at positions 448 to 1217 of the family's 1533-position model. Lineage: Bacteria; Bacillati; Bacillota; Bacilli; Caryophanales; Bacillaceae. The record is from RNAcentral.